GGUUGGUGUGUUAGCGCGCAAGCGCAACAGCUCCUGGGUGGGGCUCUGGAAGCGGGGAGGGUUUAUGCUUUUGUUUUACAUAGCAGGUGAGUUAACUGAACCAUCUCCUCCGGCUCUACCUGGCCUCUGAAGAACUAAGAAGACAUAACAGCCUUCGAUCAGUCAGUUUGAACCCAGCAAAGGAACCAGAACUUUGCUAAUCAGAUGGAGAAGCCAAAAAGUAACUCUGCCAAAAGAAAAGGAUUUCUUUCUUGAGAGCUCUCCAUCCUUCCUGAGUCCACUUCCUCUGCCACGUAUGGGGAUCCCUUAUUUGAAGAGGAAUGCAAACUUUUGCCUCUUUGUCGUGCUAAGCCCUCCCCAAGUUUCAUUCAUCUUCCAGCAGCCAACCCAGCCACUUGUCAAAACAAUCAGUCAGCAAAGCUACAAACAGGAGUCGACAUUAAAAAGCCCCAGGAUUGCUUAGGUCUGCUUGAGUGUAUGCACGCCAAUCUCCAACUUCAAACCAAACUUGCCCAACAACAGAUGGCCAUCCUAGAAGAUCUACAGUCCUCCAUGACUCUGCUGAUUCCUGGGGGGGAGGGUAAGGACUCUAUGCUGCCAGCUAUACGUCCAAAUUUGCUGUUGACUUGCCAACCUCAAAUCAGUAAAUGAACUCUGGGACC
Molecule: RNA transcript, 662 nt
Organism: Trichosurus vulpecula (common brushtail)
Lineage: Eukaryota; Metazoa; Chordata; Mammalia; Diprotodontia; Phalangeridae
Gene: TSACC
Gene name: TSSK6 activating cochaperone
Exons: 5
Source: RefSeq, a predicted model, not a curated record